GGGCGCUUGGCCUAGUGGUAUGGCGUAUGCUUUGCACCUAAAUGUGUAACAAUAAGCCAUUGCUUAUAAAUCUGUAUAAGAUCACGAGUUCGAUCCUCGUAGCGUCCA
Molecule: transfer RNA, 108 nt
Organism: Agaricus bisporus var. burnettii JB137-S8
Lineage: Eukaryota; Fungi; Basidiomycota; Agaricomycetes; Agaricales; Agaricaceae
Rfam family: tRNA
About the family: Transfer RNA (tRNA) molecules are approximately 80 nucleotides in length. Their secondary structure includes four short double-helical elements and three loops (D, anti-codon, and T loops). Further hydrogen bonds mediate the characteristic L-shaped molecular structure. tRNAs have two regions of fundamental functional importance: the anti-codon, which is responsible for specific mRNA codon recognition, and the 3' end, to which the tRNAs corresponding amino acid is attached (by aminoacyl-tRNA synthetases). tRNAs cope with the degeneracy of the genetic code in two manners: having more than one tRNA (with a specific anti-codon) for a particular amino acid; and 'wobble' base-pairing, i.e. permitting non-standard base-pairing at the 3rd anti-codon position.
Source: Rfam